UUCACCUUCAGCUUGGACAUCAUCUCCUGGCUUCUGGCACAGACUGUUUGGCUUCUGCCUGGGACUCUUCAGCGUUCAGCAUAGACUCUUCAACCUUCCAUCAUAAAGUCUUCAGUGUUCCAUCAUAGACCCAUCAGCCUCCUGAUACAGACUUGCAUGGGACACUGCAGUAAGCUCCAGCCCUUGUGCUGGACCCUUCAACCUCCAGUGUGUAGACAUCCUUUGCACGAUCCCUUAUUCAACUUGUGGCUGACCACUUCUCCUUUCAUCUAAAAGCUGAGCUGUAGAAGAGGUGGCAGAAAAGGGGAGCCUGACCCAAACCAUGUACUCACCCACCCAGCUGAAGAGUGAGGUAUUUUGUCACAGUCAUACAAAGCUGACGCACACAGCUGUCAAUCAGCACAUGGGUGAGUUAUUUUGGAAGUGGAUCCUCCUGCACCAGUCAGCCCUUUAGAGAACUUCAGCUCAGCCAGACACCCCGACUACAACCUCAGAGAGACCAACGGCCAGCUGAGCAGAUCCAAAACUCCUAAACUACACAAACUGUGAAAUAAUAAGCACUUGUUGCUACUAAAGCUGUCAAGACUGAAGACAAUUUGUUUUGCAUAAAUAGAUGAUAAAUAAAGCCACUUGUCACAUGCUUCAGUGUUCUGGCCAUCACUUUGAACAUUUCUAAAUAAUCUCAAUUUUAGUACCUGCACAGAUUAACAAUCAGUUUCUUUGCAAAGCUUUAAGAAA
Molecule: long non-coding RNA, 738 nt
Organism: Cavia porcellus (domestic guinea pig)
Lineage: Eukaryota; Metazoa; Chordata; Mammalia; Rodentia; Caviidae
Exons: 3
Source: RefSeq, a predicted model, not a curated record